RNAcentral lists this long non-coding RNA (928 nucleotides) under Cricetulus griseus (Chinese hamster). Its description in RNAcentral is "lncRNA (ENSCGRG00015041695.1)". The record is from RNAcentral. Lineage: Eukaryota; Metazoa; Chordata; Mammalia; Rodentia; Cricetidae.
UGGGGAACUCCUUUUGAAGGUUGCCUUGCAUCUCUUACAGGAAACCUUUGCCACUCUUUCUAAGUUCACUUUCUCCACCCGUCCCUGCAGGCUUCUUAGUCAUCUACUUGGCAGCUGCUGGGUCUGGGUUACUCACAGGCUUGCCUAAUCACACCUGGAAGAAGGGAGCUUGAAGCACGUCCCGAGUGAGCGAUGGCGCCCACGGGCUAGCCCGCCCUGCCCCUGCCUCUGCCUGGCCGGCCCACCGCCUGAUGUCACCCCAUGUGCACCAGGCCAAUCAGCACCACGGGUACUUCAGCGGGUACCUGUGUGCAUUUAAAACGUGAUCUCCCUGCCUUCUGAAUUCUGGUCCAGCUUCACAUUCCUGCUUUUGUGCCUUCUCUGCCAUGGUGGACUUUAUCCCUCUGGAACUACAUCUGAGUAUCAGUUGCUGACUACAGGCUGUUCUAAGUAGACUGCGAGCCCUGGACUUGCUAUGGAUGUGAACCAGUCUGCUGAUGUGGACACCCCCUAUCUCUGCAACAGUGUCUGCUAACCAGAAGCCCCUGAUGGAUUCCCCAUUGCCUAAAUUCCUUUUUGCUUUUGACUAGCAUUUCAACCUUCUGGGGUCCCUAACUUCGUCCCAAAGUCAGCAGGAAGCAGUUUGGAAAAGAAUUUCGCCGUCCAUUUUCCCUGGUUAAAAUGCUAAGUCAAAAGGAACUCCCUUGCAUGGGGAUGCGAAACGACAGGGGAUGCUCACUGGAAGCCUUCAUCCUCAUGGGACAAGAUUCAGCCGCUGGCUCCCACUUCCCUGCCGCCGCGCAAGGCCGGCCCCCGCCGGAACGCUCCGUCCCAAGGUCAGCCAUCUGGACGCGGCAGAAGAUAAAGGCCGUUUCGCCUGACUACUAGACCUUGAGAAAAUGGUGAUUUGAUGCUUUUCGCUUCUGUA